This is a long non-coding RNA of Silurus meridionalis, 633 nucleotides long. RefSeq lists it as uncharacterized. Lineage: Eukaryota; Metazoa; Chordata; Actinopteri; Siluriformes; Siluridae. The record is from RefSeq and is a predicted model, not a curated record. The transcript has 3 exons.
ACGUCUCGUCUGCGGCGGUAGAGGACGAUGAGUGGACGUCUCGUCUGCGGCGGUAGAGGACGAUGAGUGGACGUCUCGUCUGCGGCGGUUUGGCUCUGAAGCUGGAAACACACCUGCUCCUAGUCAGAAGAAAUGGUUGGAUCUGUUUUAUAAGAGGGAGAAAUGUCCAGUGCAGGUCCACGACCAGUCGAAACUUUCCGGUGGACCACAGAAACGUCUUUGUGGAUUCCACCCUCCUAAAGUGUUCAUUUCAGACUUUCAGGUCGUAAGUGUUCCACCUGCUGCAAGUGUUCCACCUGCUUUACUCCACUCCUACUGCUGUAGCGCCCCCUACCUCCACCCCCACCAUUAUACAGCCUGCACUUUUAUGUCAUUUAAGAAGACCCUUAUAUCUGUCAUUAUCAUCAUUAUUAUGUUUAAGUUCAUAAUAUACAAUAUGUGUCUUUACAGCCUGGAUUUCAAAGUCCAUCUCCUUCAGCCAGUCCUUCAUCUGCAUCCAGUCCUGCUGUUUCUUCCAGUUCUGCUCCUUUAAUUAUUUCUUGCUGGUGUUCUGAGCGACUCAUUUUACUGUUUAUUUGUGUGGAUUUACUACUAUUAUAAUCUAUAGUUAUUUAUGAUCAGGUUGUUGUUUUA